Molecule: ribosomal RNA, 800 nt
Filed under: uncultured bacterium
Lineage: Bacteria
Description: bacterial SSU rRNA
Rfam family: Bacterial small subunit ribosomal RNA
Source: RNAcentral
AGAGUUUGCUUUUGGCUCAGGAUGAACGCUGGCGGCGUGCUUAACACAUGCAAGUCGAGCGAAGCACUUAGGUUUGAUUCUUCGGAUGAAGACCUAAGUGACUGAGCGGCGGACGGGUGAGUAACGCGUGGGUAACCUGCCUCAUACAGGGGGAUAACAGUUAGAAAUGACUGCUAAUACCGCAUAAGACCACAGCACCGCAUGGUGCAGGGGUAAAAACUCCGGUGGUAUGAGAUGGACCCGCGUCUGAUUAGGUAGUUGGUGAGGUAACGGCUCACCAAGCCGACGAUCAGUAGCCGACCUGAGAGGGUGACCGGCCACAUUGGGACUGAGACACGGCCCAAACUCCUACGGGAGGCAGCAGUGGGGAAUCUUGCACAAUGGGCGAAAGCCUGAUGCAGCGACGCCGCGUGAAGGAAGAAGUAUUUCGGUAUGUAAACUUCUAUCAGCAGGGAAGAAAAUGACGGUACCUGACUAAGAAGCCCCGGCUAACUACGUGCCAGCAGCCGCGGUAAUACGUAGGGGGCAAGCGUUAUCCGGAUUUACUGGGUGUAAAGGGAGCGUAGACGGCUCUGUAAGUCUGGAGUGAAAACCCGGGGCUCAACCCCGGGACUGCUUUGGAAACUAUAGAGCUAGAGUGUCGGAGAGGUAAGUGGAAUUCCUAGUGUAGCGGUGAAAUGCGUAGAUAUUAGGAGGAACACCAGUGGCGAAGGCGGCUUACUGGACGAUGACUGACGUUGAGGCUCGAAAGCGUGGGGAGCAAACAGAAUUAGAUACCCUGGUAGUCCACGCCGUAAACG